Molecule: long non-coding RNA, 665 nt
Filed under: Olea europaea subsp. europaea
Lineage: Eukaryota; Viridiplantae; Streptophyta; Magnoliopsida; Lamiales; Oleaceae
Source: RNAcentral
UGGGCAGAUUGUUAUUUUCGAUGCAAGGCCCAAUAGCCUUGAGUAAAAACCAAUGCACUUCUUCAGAUUCAGUUAUAUGGUAAAACAUAAAAUAUACACGUCAAUUUUUGUAUGCCAAGACAUAAAGCCUGGUAAUCCACGUCAAAUUUUACUACCUUCUAAUCCUGCCAACUAGGACAGCAGGUUGGGGGCCACAAGUAUGGUGUUUGGAUUGUCUGGCUUUGAAGGUUUGACCAAUGAGGACAUUGGUACUACAUAGCAUUACUCAAAAAGUGAAUUGCAUUUUACAGCUAAAACCAAAUGUUCAAAACAAGAACCGCAGUGGAUUAUGUAAUAAAAAGUAAAUGUUGAACAAAGAACUAAUUGCCUGCACAACUUGUCAUUCCACACCAUGGACUCUAUACACAUCAAAACUGAAGUCCGGCAUGCAGGAAAUGAGGGUAAUGGAUAUAUUUAUGACCACAACUUUCUGCGAAGUCGAGCAACUGUUAGAUCUGCACCACCAAAUCCAUCCAUUAUGGCAGUCGCUGAAGGAAACUCAGCUCUAGAUGUCGAACUUCAGGAUCCACCACAACAAAAGAGGAAAAGAAAAGGUUGAUCAGGAUAUUGCAAUGGAAAAACACAAUGAGUUAUGAUGUCAAGGAUGAAGUAAAUCUUGAAAGACA